GACGUAGGGCGCGAGCGUUGUCCGGAUUUAUUGGGCGUAAAGAGCUCGUAGGCGGCUUGUCGCGUCGUCCGUGAAAACCUGCAGCUCAACUGCAGGCUUGCGGUCGAUACGGGCAGGCUAGAGUGUGGUAGGGGAGAUCGGAAUUCCUGGUGUAGCGGUGAAAUGCGUAGAUAUCUGGAGGAACACCGGUGGCGAAGGCGGCAUCCUGGACCGAUACUGACGCUGAGGAGCGAAAGCCAGGGGAGCAAACGGG
This 253-nucleotide ribosomal RNA is filed under the name uncultured bacterium. RNAcentral's name for it is "partial 16S ribosomal RNA". It matches the Rfam family "Bacterial small subunit ribosomal RNA", at positions 524 to 776 of the family's 1533-position model. The record is from RNAcentral.